CCUACGGGCGGGCAGCAGUGGGGAAUAUUGGACAAUGGGGGGAACCCUGAUCCAGCCAUGCCGCGUGUGUGAAGAAGGCCCUCGGGUUGUAAAGCACUUUCAGUGAGGAAGAACGCCUGGUGGUUAAUACCCAUCAGGAAAGACAUCACUCACAGAAGAAGCACCGGCUAACUCCGUGCCAGCAGCCGCGGUAAUACGGAGGGUGCGAGCGUUAAUCGGAAUUACUGGGCGUAAAGCGCGCGUAGGUGGCUUGAUAAGCCGGUUGUGAAAGCCCCGGGCUCAACCUGGGAACGGCAUCCGGAACUGUCAAGCUAGAGUGCAGGAGAGGAAGGUAGAAUUCCCGGUGUAGCGGUGAAAUGCGUAGAGAUCGGGAGGAAUACCAGUGGCGAAGGCGGCCUUCUGGACUGACACUGACACUGAGGUGCGAAAGCGUGGGUAGCAAACAGGAUUAGAUACCCGGGUAGUC
RNAcentral lists this ribosomal RNA (466 nucleotides) under Vreelandella stevensii. RNAcentral's name for it is "partial 16S ribosomal RNA". It matches the Rfam family "Bacterial small subunit ribosomal RNA", at positions 338 to 795 of the family's 1533-position model. Lineage: Bacteria; Pseudomonadati; Pseudomonadota; Gammaproteobacteria; Oceanospirillales; Halomonadaceae. The record is from RNAcentral.